CGUAACACGUGAGCAACCUGCCCAAAAGAGGGGGAUAGCCCGAGGAAACUCGGAUUAAUACCGCGUAUGGUCCGGAAAGGCAUCUUUCCAGGAUUAAAGGUGGGGAUCACUUCGGUGACCUGCCGCUUUUGGAUGGGCUCGCGGCCUAUCAGCUUGUUGGUGAGGUAAAGGCUCACCAAGGCUACGACGGGUAACUGGUCUGAGAGGACGAUCAGUCACACUGGAACUGAGACACGGUCCAG
Molecule: ribosomal RNA, 242 nt
Filed under: uncultured bacterium
Lineage: Bacteria
Description: partial 16S ribosomal RNA
Rfam family: Bacterial small subunit ribosomal RNA
Source: RNAcentral